Molecule: non-coding RNA, 78 nt
Organism: Mycena polygramma
Lineage: Eukaryota; Fungi; Basidiomycota; Agaricomycetes; Agaricales; Mycenaceae
Source: the annotation of a GenBank genome assembly
GCACCGGUAGCAUACGGUAUGCACACCGUCCAAAUUGAUGACCUUCGGGGGGACGGGGUUCGACUCCCCGCCGGUGCU